RNAcentral lists this ribosomal RNA (375 nucleotides) under uncultured organism. RNAcentral describes it as "bacterial SSU rRNA". It matches the Rfam family "Bacterial small subunit ribosomal RNA", at positions 526 to 896 of the family's 1533-position model. The record is from RNAcentral.
CGUAGGGUGCGAGCGUUUAAUCGGAAUUACUGGGCGUAAAGCGUGCGCGGGCGGUUUAGUAAGACAGGCGUGAAAUCCCCGGGCUCAACCUGGGAACUGCGCUUGUGACUGCGUAAGCUAGAGUACGGCAGAGGGGGGUGGAAUUCCACGUGUAGCAGUGAAAUGCGUAGAGAUGUGGAGGAACACCAAUGGCGAAGGCAGCCCCCUGGGUCGAUACUGACGCUCAUGCACGAAAGCGUGGGUAGCAAACAGGAUUAGAUACCCUGGUAGUCCACGCCCUAAACGAGUGUCAACUAGGUGUUGGGAGGGUAAAACCUUUUAGUACCGGAGCUAACGCGUGAAGUUGACCGCCUGGGGAGUACGGCCGCAAGGUUA